AUACUUACCUGGCAAGGGAGAUAGUGUGAUCAAGAAAGCAGUUCACCCAGGGCGAGGCUCAGCCAUUGCACUGCGGCUGUGCUGACCCCUGCGAAUUUCCAAAUGUGGAAAUCUCGAUUGCAUAAUUUAUGGUAGUGGGGGACUGCGUUCGCGCUCUCCCCUG
Molecule: small nuclear RNA, 163 nt
Filed under: Oncorhynchus kisutch (coho salmon)
Lineage: Eukaryota; Metazoa; Chordata; Actinopteri; Salmoniformes; Salmonidae
Description: U1 spliceosomal RNA (ENSOKIG00005002380.1)
Rfam family: U1 spliceosomal RNA
About the family: U1 is a small nuclear RNA (snRNA) component of the spliceosome (involved in pre-mRNA splicing). Its 5' end forms complementary base pairs with the 5' splice junction, thus defining the 5' donor site of an intron. There are significant differences in sequence and secondary structure between metazoan and yeast U1 snRNAs, the latter being much longer (568 nucleotides as compared to 164 nucleotides in human).
Source: Rfam by way of RNAcentral